CAUGCAAGUCGAACGGGACCGGGGGCAACUCCGGUUCAGUGGCGAACGGGUGCGUAACACGUGAGGAACCUGACCAUCGGCGGGGGAUAGCCGGCCCAACGGCCGGGUAAUACCGCGUACGACCUUCGGGGGGCAUCCCCUGAAGGUGAAAGCAGCAAUGCACCGAUGGAGGGCCUCGCGGCCUAUCAGCUAGUUGGUGAGGUAACGGCUCACCAAGGCGACGACGGGUAGCUGGUCUGAGAGGAUGGCCAGCCACAUUGGGACUGAGACACGGCCCAGACUCCUACGGGAGGCAGCAGUGGGGAAUCUUGCGCAAUGGGCGAAAGCCUGACGCAGCGACGCCGCGUGUGGGAUGACGGCCUUCGGGUUGUAAACCACUGUCGGGAGGGACGAAGCUCUGACGGUACCUCCAAAGGAAGCACCGGCUAACUCUGUGCCAGCAGCCGCGGUAAUACAGAGGGUGCGAGCGUUGUCCGGAAUCACUGGGCGUAAAGGGCGCGUAGGCGGCCUGAUAAGUAGGGGGUGAAAUCCUGCGGCUUAACUGCAGGGCUGCCUCCUAGACUGUCGGGCUCGAGCACGGUAGAGGCAGAUGGAAUUCCCGGUGUAGCGGUGGAAUGCGUAGAGAUCGGGAAGAACAUCGGUGGCGAAGGCGGUCUGCUGGGCCGUUGCUGACGCUGAGGCGCGACAGCGUGGGGAGCAAACAGGAUUAGAUACCCUGGUAGUCCACGCCGUAAACGAUGGACACUAGGCGUCGGGGGGAGCGACCCUCCCGGUGCCGUCGCUAACGCAGUAAGUGUCCCGCCUGGGGAGUACGGCCGCAAGGCUGAGACUUAAAG
Molecule: ribosomal RNA, 836 nt
Filed under: uncultured bacterium
Lineage: Bacteria
Description: bacterial SSU rRNA
Rfam family: Bacterial small subunit ribosomal RNA
Source: RNAcentral